RNAcentral lists this ribosomal RNA (492 nucleotides) under uncultured bacterium. RNAcentral's name for it is "partial 16S ribosomal RNA". It matches the Rfam family "Bacterial small subunit ribosomal RNA", at positions 29 to 507 of the family's 1533-position model. The record is from RNAcentral.
AGUGAACGCUGGCGGUAGGCCUAACACAUGCAAGUCGAACGGCAGCACAGUAAGAGCUUGCUCUUACGGGUGGCGAGUGGCGGACGGGGGAGGAAUACAUCGGAAUCUACUUUUUCGCGGGGGAUAACGUAGGGAAACUUACGCUAAUACCGCAUACGACCUACGUGUGAAAGCAGGGGAUCUUCGGACCUUGCGCGAUUGAAUGAGCCGAUGUCGGAUUAGCUAGUUGGCGGGGUAAAGGCCGAGCAAGGCGACGAUCCGUAGCUGGUCUGAGAGGAUCAUCCGCCACACUGGAACUGAGACACGGUCCACACUCCUACGGUAGGCAGCAGUCGAGAAUAUUAGACGAUGGGCGCAAGGCUGAUCCAGCCAUACCGCGUGGGUGAAGAAGGACUUCGGGUUGUAAAACCCUUUUGUUGGGAAAGAAAAGCAGCUGUUUCAUCCCCCGCUGUUCUGACGGUACCCAAAGAAUAAGCACCGGCUAACUUCGUG